RNAcentral lists this ribosomal RNA (115 nucleotides) under uncultured eukaryote. RNAcentral describes it as "partial small subunit ribosomal RNA". The record is from RNAcentral.
UUGGCUMUACCCGAAGGCGUUUCGCUAACCGCAAGGAGGCAGGCGACCACGGUAGGGUCAGCGACUGGGGUGAAGUCGUAACAAGGUAGCCGUAGGUGAACCUGCAGAAGSAUCA